AAUACUUCACAAUGGGCGAAAGCCUGAUGCAGCAACGACGCGUGAGUGAUGCACGUCUUUGCAUCGUAAAGCUCUCUGACCAGGGAUGAUAAUGAUGGUAUCUGAAAAAUAUUCCACGGCUAACUACGUGUCAGCAGCCGCCGUAAUACGUAGGUGGCGAGCGUUGUCCGGAAUUACUGGGCGUAAAGGAUGCGUAGGUGGAUACUUAAGUGGGAUGUGAAAUCCCCGGGCUCAACCCGGGAACUGCAUUCCAAACUGGGUAUCUAGAGUGCAGGAGAGGAAAGCGGAAUUCCUAGUGUAGCGGUGAAAUGCGUAGAUAUUAGGAGGAACACCAGUGGCGAAGGCGGCUUUCUGGACUGUAACUGACACUGAGGCAUGAAAGCGUGGGUAGCAAACAG
RNAcentral lists this ribosomal RNA (398 nucleotides) under uncultured bacterium. RNAcentral describes it as "partial 16S ribosomal RNA". It matches the Rfam family "Bacterial small subunit ribosomal RNA", at positions 360 to 775 of the family's 1533-position model. The record is from RNAcentral.